GACGAACGCUGGCGGCGUGCUUGACACAUGCAAGUCGAACGCUGAAGCUCAGCUUUUGUUGGGUGGAUGAGUGGCGAACGGGUGAGUAACACGUGAGUAACCUGCCCCCUUCUUUGGGAUAACGCCCGGAAACGGGUGCUAAUACUGGAUAUUCACUGGUCUUCGCAUGGGGGUUGGUGGAAAGGGUUUUUCUGGUGGGGGAUGGGCUCGCGGCCUAUCAGCUUGUUGGUGGGGUGAUGGCCUACCAAGGCUUUGACGGGUAGCCGGCCUGAGAGGGUGACCGGUCACAUUGGGACUGAGAUACGGCCCAGACUCCUACGGGAGGCAGCAGUGGGGAAUAUUGCACAAUGGGCGCAAGCCUGAUGCAGCGACGCCGCGUGAGGGAUGGAGGCCUUCGGGUUGUGAACCUCUUUCGCUCAUGGUCAAGCCGCAACAAUGGUUGUGGUGAGGGUAGUGGGUAAAGAAGCGCCGGCUAACUACGU
This 482-nucleotide ribosomal RNA is filed under the name uncultured bacterium. Its description in RNAcentral is "partial 16S ribosomal RNA". It matches the Rfam family "Bacterial small subunit ribosomal RNA", at positions 28 to 506 of the family's 1533-position model. The record is from RNAcentral.